CACAAUCCAAACAAAUACUCUCCCCGUUUUAAUUUGUUUGUUUGAUUUUGAUUUGACACGAACAAAUUAAGAGCAAUAUGCUAGCUAUAAGGGUUAAUUAUAUUUGGCUUCAAUCGGUAAGUAAACAUUCCAAUUUCUAAAGUGCACACUGGUUGUUUCGACUGAUAACUGAAUAUUUCUCAUUGUGUCUUGUGGAUAUUCAAUGUUGAAGUGAUACAGAAAUUUUGGAAGUGUCUGAAUAUGACUAUUUUGUAAAUUAAGAGUCUUUAGCUGAUACGAGUUGAGAUGUUUAGAUAUGUUUAGAUGUGCAUAUAAUGUAAAGUGCACACUGGUUUCGACUGAUAACUGAAUAUUUCUCAUUGUGUCUUGUGGGCAUUCAAUAUUGAAGUGACACAGAGAUUUUAGAGGUGUCUGAAUAUGAUUAUUUUGUAAAUUAGAGUCUUUAGCUGAUACAGUAUAGACGAGUUGAGAUGUUUAGAUGUGCCUAUAGACUAGACGAGUUGAGAUGUUCAUAUGCGCCUAGCUGAUACAG
This is a long non-coding RNA of Solanum tuberosum (potato), 532 nucleotides long. RefSeq lists it as uncharacterized. The transcript is spliced from 2 exons. The record is from RefSeq and is a predicted model, not a curated record. Lineage: Eukaryota; Viridiplantae; Streptophyta; Magnoliopsida; Solanales; Solanaceae.